AUGCGCAGGGCACGCUCGAGACGAACAGGGGGCAGUCGAGGCAAGGGGCCGCGGGCGCAGGAACUUGGUGCUACCGUGGAUGCAGGGACGGUUCAACGCGGGCAGCUCCGGUCGGGAUCCUCCGGAUCGAACGUAGCAGAGGACGGAGGGGCUCAGGGGCAGCUCGAUUUGGUCAGCGGCGGGGAUCGGUCAGGGGAGCUGGUGUCUCGUGGCAGCGAUGAGCGGCGGAGGAAAAUCCAUGGUGCUCGAGGCAGGAAGCGGCUUCAGACGCGGAGCUCGCCGGAUCCGAUAGCGGUGAAAGUCGUCGAGGCAGGGAACGGAGCUCUGGCGGCUUGGCCGCUCCGGGCGAGGCUCAAGGAGCUCAAGCGCGUGUCAUCCAUGGUGCUGCUCCUAUGGCACAAGAGAGGGAGGGAGAGGUUAGAGAAGGGAGAGACGAGAAUAAGAGGAAGACAGGAAGAAGGAGCGGGUGGUCUGGCCUGGUUCGGUCCCUGGCGGCGGCGCCAGACGACGAGGCGAGGAGGAGGAGCAUGGGGAGGAUCUGGAACGAAGAAGAGCAUGGGGUCUCAUUCCUGGCAUCUUGCGGGAGCUCCUACUUGA
Molecule: ribosomal RNA, 597 nt
Filed under: Triticum aestivum (bread wheat)
Lineage: Eukaryota; Viridiplantae; Streptophyta; Magnoliopsida; Poales; Poaceae
Description: partial small subunit ribosomal RNA
Source: RNAcentral